This 886-nucleotide ribosomal RNA is filed under the name uncultured Staphylococcus sp. Its description in RNAcentral is "bacterial SSU rRNA". It matches the Rfam family "Bacterial small subunit ribosomal RNA", at positions 28 to 896 of the family's 1533-position model. Lineage: Bacteria; Bacillati; Bacillota; Bacilli; Caryophanales; Staphylococcaceae. The record is from RNAcentral.
GAUGAACGCUGGCGGCGUGCCUCAUUAUGCAAGUCGAGCGAACGGACGAGAAGCUUGCUUCUCUGAUGUUAGCGGCGGACGGGUGAGUAACACGUGGAUAACCUACCUAUAAGACUGGGAUAACUUCGGGAAACCGGAGCUAAUACCGGAUAAUAUUUUGAACCGCAUGGUUCAAAAGUGAAAGACGGUCUUGCUGUCACUUAUAGAUGGAUCCGCGCUGCAUUAGCUAGUUGGUAAGGUAACGGCUUACCAAGGCAACGAUGCAUAGCCGACCUGAGAGGGUGAUCGGCCACACUGGAACUGAGACACGGUCCAGACUCCUACGGGAGGCAGCAGUAGGGAAUCUUCCGCAAUGGGCGAAAGCCUGACGGAGCAACGCCGCGUGAGUGAUGAAGGUCUUCGGAUCGUAAAACUCUGUUAUUAGGGAAGAACAUAUGUGUAAGUAACUGUGCACAUCUUGACGGUACCUAAUCAGAAAGCCACGGCUAACUACGUGCCAGCAUCCGCGGUAAUACGUAGGUGGCAAGCGUUAUCCGGAAUUAUUGGGCGUAAAGCGCGCGUAGGCGGUUUUUUAAGUCUGAUGUGAAAGCCCACGGCUCAACCGUGGAGGGUCAUUGGAAACUGGAAAACUUGAGUGCAGAAGAGGAAAGUGGAAUUCCAUGUGUAGCGGUGAAAUGCGCAGAGAUAUGGAGGAACACCAGUGGCGAAGGCGACUUUCUGGUCUGUAACUGACGCUGAUGUGCGGAAGCGUGGGGAUCAAACAGGAUUAGAUACCCUGGUAGUCCACGCCGUNAACGAUGAGUGCUAAGUGUUAGGGGGUUUCCGCCCUUAGUGCUGCAGCUAACGCAUUAAGCACUUCGCCCUGGGGAGUACGACCGCAAGGUUG